CUUUUCUCCUCUCUCUUUUUUAUUUAAACCAACCACAACCGUUUUCUUUUUUUUUUUGUCUUUUCUCUCCUCUUUUAGCUGAGAAUUAGAAUCUCAUCACCAUCAGAACCAAAAUAAUAUAUCUAUAUACAUGAGAUAAAAGAUGUCUCCCAAAAGAAAGAAAACUGAAAGUGGGAUCAACUUUUGAUCGACCAACUUAAAAGGUUAGAGUAAAGAUGGGUUCUCAGAGGAAAAAGCUGCUUGCAAAUCGAUGUAUACAAGUACUUCAUAUGUGCGAAGUAUGUGUUACUGAUCAAUUUAUCAUGGAAAACACACAUAAAGUUGAAUGAUUUUGUGAAUGUUGAUUUUUACCAAUUAGGCAUUGAUCAUUAAAAAAAGAACUUGCCUUUUACAGUUGAGUUUGGUAGGUUCAAACUAAUAAGGCAGAGGAACCUAGAAGGUGGUGUGGAUACCCUGCUAAUCUAAUAAUGAUUUUGCUAAUGUUUAUAUCUAUGUGGGUAGUUUAGAGAAGAGAUAAGUAUUUGAUGGCAGUGUAUAUGUUUAAUAGUGAUAAGACUGGUUUUAAGGGUUCAAUGGAUUGUUGAAAGGCCUCCGAAUCCUUUCACUACAGCAAACAAGAAUAAAAAUUUCAUAGAAAUUAUCCAAGUUCAAAUUUAUAUGGAUGGGUUUCUCGGGGAGAUGAUUAUAGAGCAGAAGGUGUUGUUGGAGAAUACCUGCGAGACAGGAAGGGAGUUGUUGAAGACUAUAUCAUCUCAAACCUUAUUACAGAAGAAACACAAGGUUUGAAAGGAACUCAUCUAAAAUGCACAGUGUAAAAUAUGUUUCGAGGGAUGAUUUUUCCUGAGAAAUUAGAUCUCAGACUGUAAAAUACACACCCAUCUAAAGUACAAACUGAAAGUAUCCACACCUGUUGUUGCAUAUCUCCCAACUUUAGAUGAGUGUGCAUUUUAUAGACUAAGAUCUAAUUUCUCAGGAACAAAAUCAUCCCUCGAAGAAUAUUUUAUGGUGUGAAUUUUAGAUGAGGUCCUUUAAAACCUUGUAUUUCUUCUGUAAUAAGGUUUGAGAUGAUAUAGUAUUCAAUAGCUCUAUCCCUCUUCUCUCGCAGAUAUUCUCCUACAACACCUUCUUCUCAAUAAUUAUCUCCCCGAGAAACCCAUCUAUUUAAAUUUAGACCUUGGGGAAUUUCUAUGGAUUUCCAUUCUUGUUUGCUGCAGUGAGAGAAUUCUGAGGCCUUUCAACAAUCCAUUGAACCCUUAAAAUCAAUCCUAUCACUAUUAAACAUCUACACUGCCAUCAAAUCUUUAUCCCUUCUCCAAACUAAACACGUAAACAUAAACAUUAGCAAAACCAUCAUUAGACUAUAGCAUGGGACACACACCGCCUUGUAAGUCCCUCAGCCUUAUAAGUUCGGACCUACCAAACUUAACUGUAAAAGGAAAAAUUUUAUUUUAAUGAUCAAUGUCUAAUCAGUAAAAAAUAACAUUCACAAAAUCAUUGUACUUUAUGUGUGUUUGUCACGAAAACCUGAUCAGUAAUACAUACCUCACACAUAUGAAAGUGGAUCCAUCUAUUUUCACAUACCUUAUUCUUUUUACCCCAUCUGUUCUCAUCAAUGACAGCAAUAAAAUAGUGUUUUAUCUUCA
Molecule: long non-coding RNA, 1643 nt
Organism: Capsicum annuum
Lineage: Eukaryota; Viridiplantae; Streptophyta; Magnoliopsida; Solanales; Solanaceae
Exons: 2
Source: RefSeq, a predicted model, not a curated record